AGUGAAGUGAUUGUCGGAGUGGUGGACACUGGCGUGUGGCCUGAGCUCAAAAGCUACGACGACACAGGGCUCGCGGCGGUACCAAGUGGCUGGAAAGGGGUGUGUGAGGCGGGAACAAACUUCAGCUCCUCAAACUGCAACCGGAAACUCAUAGGCGCGAGGUUUUUCUCGAAAGGGUAUGAAGCUACAGUUGGACCAAUCGAUGUGAAAACAGAAUCGAAAUCACCACGAGAUGAUGAUGGCCACGGAACCCACACCUCAUCCACUGCAACCGGUUCCGCAGUUUCAGGAGCUAGCCUCUUUGGUUAUGCUUCGGGGACAGCGCGAGGGAUGG
RNAcentral lists this long non-coding RNA (334 nucleotides) under Malus domestica (apple). RNAcentral's name for it is "long non-coding RNA (MDOM_LNC007338)". Lineage: Eukaryota; Viridiplantae; Streptophyta; Magnoliopsida; Rosales; Rosaceae. The record is from RNAcentral.